Molecule: ribosomal RNA, 484 nt
Filed under: uncultured bacterium
Lineage: Bacteria
Description: partial 16S ribosomal RNA
Rfam family: Bacterial small subunit ribosomal RNA
Source: RNAcentral
AUUGAACGCUGGCGGCAGGCCCAACACAUGCAGGUCGAGCGGAUGAAGGGAGCUUGCUCCUGGAUUCAGCGGCGGACGGGUGAGUAAUGCCUAGGAAUCUGCCUGGUAGUGGGGGAUAACGUCCGGAAACGGGCGCUAAUACCGCAUACGUCCUGAGGGAGAAAGUGGGGGAUCUUCGGACCUCACGCUAUCAGAUGAGCCUAGGUCGGAUUAGCUAGUUGGUGGGGUAAAGGCCUACCAAGGCGACGAUCCGUAACUGGUCUGAGAGGAUGAUCAGUCACACUGGAACUGAGACACGGUCCAGACUCCUACGGGAGGCAGCAGUGGGGAAUAUUGGACAAUGGGCGAAAGCCUGAUCCAGCCAUGCCGCGUGUGUGAAGAAGGUCUUCGGAUUGUAAAGCACUUUAAGUUGGGAGGAAGGGCAGUAAGUUAAUACCUUGCUGUUUUGACGUUACCAACAGAAUAAGCACCGGCUAACUUCGUG